Molecule: ribosomal RNA, 453 nt
Filed under: uncultured Desulfobulbus sp.
Lineage: Bacteria; Pseudomonadati; Thermodesulfobacteriota; Desulfobulbia; Desulfobulbales; Desulfobulbaceae
Description: bacterial SSU rRNA
Rfam family: Bacterial small subunit ribosomal RNA
Source: RNAcentral
ACAAGCGGUGGAGCAUGUGGUUAAUUCGAAGCAACGCGAAGAACCUACCAGGCCUUGACAUGCAGAGAACUUCCAGAGAUGGAUUGGUGCCUUCGGGAACUCUGACACAGGUGCUGCAUGGCUGUCGUCAGCUCGUGUCGUGAGAUGUUGGGUUAAGCCCGUAACGAGCGCAACCCUUGCCUUUAGUUGCCAGCAGUUCGGCUGGGCACUCUAAAGGGACUGCCGGUGUUAAACCGGAGGAAGGUGGGGAUGACGUCAAGUCCUCAUGGCCUUUAUGACCAGGGCUACACACGUACUACAAUGGCCGAUACAAAGGGCAGCGACACUGCGAGGUGAAGCCAAUCCCGUAAAAUCGGUCUCAGUCCGGAUUGGAGUCUGCAACUCGACUCCAUGAAGUUGGAAUCGCUAGUAAUCGUGGAUCAGCAUGCCACGGUGAAUACGUUCCCGGGCCUU